This 527-nucleotide ribosomal RNA is filed under the name uncultured bacterium. RNAcentral's name for it is "bacterial SSU rRNA". It matches the Rfam family "Bacterial small subunit ribosomal RNA", at positions 777 to 1302 of the family's 1533-position model. The record is from RNAcentral.
AAUAGAUACCCUGGUAGUCCACGCCGUAAACGAUGAGUGCUAAGUGUUAGAGGGUUUCCGCCCUUUAGUGCUGCAGCUAACGCAUUAAGCACUCCGCCUGGGGAGUACGGUCGCAAGACUGAAACUCAAAGGAAUUGACGGGGGCCCGCACAAGCGGUGGAGCAUGUGGUUUAAUUCGAAGCAACGCGAAGAACCUUACCAGGUCUUGACAUCCCACUGACCGGUAUAGAGAUAUACCUUUCCCUUCGGGGACAGUGGUGACAGGUGGUGCAUGGUUGUCGUCAGCUCGUGUCGUGAGAUGUUGGGUUAAGUCCCGCAACGAGCGCAACCCUUGAUCUUAGUUGCCAGCAUUUAGUUGGGCACUCUAAGGUGACUGCCGGUGACAAACCGGAGGAAGGUGGGGAUGACGUCAAAUCAUCAUGCCCCUUAUGACCUGAGCUACACACGUGCUACAAUGGAUGGUACAAAGGGCUGCAAGACUGCGAAGUCAAGCCAAUCCCAUAAAACCAUUCUCAGUUCGGAUUGCA